This 423-nucleotide ribosomal RNA is filed under the name uncultured bacterium. RNAcentral describes it as "bacterial SSU rRNA". It matches the Rfam family "Bacterial small subunit ribosomal RNA", at positions 358 to 773 of the family's 1533-position model. The record is from RNAcentral.
GUAAUAUUGGACAAUGGGCGAAAGCCUGAUCCAGCCAUGCCGCGUGUGUGAAGAAGGUCUUCGGAUUGUAAAGCACUUUACGUUGGGAGGACGGGUAGUAACUUAAUACUUUGCUAUUUUGACGUUACCGACAGAAUAAGCACCGGCUACCUUCGUGCCAGCAGCCGCGGUAAUACGAAGGGUGCAAGCGUUAAUCGGAAUUACUGGGCGUAAAGCGCGCGUAGGUGGUUCAGUAAGUUGGAAGUGAAAUCCCCGGGCUCAACCUGGGAACUGCUUUCAAAACUGCUGAGCUAGAGUACGGUAGAGGGUGGUGGAGUUUCCUGUGUAGCGGUGAAAUGCGUAGAUAUAGGAAGGAACACCAGUGGCGAAGGCGACCACCUGGACUGAUACUGACACUGAGGUGCGAAAGCGUGGGGAGCAAAC